GACUUGAGGCCUCUCUGACUGCAUCUGUCACUCCACUGACAACAGGGCUGAUUUGGCUGUGGCUAAAUGGCUAUUCUCACCUUCCUUCCUCACCACCUCAAGGGCAUUCCUCCUAACACUCUACCUCUCCCCUCUCAGUCAAAAAUGACAAACUUUCCAGGUGGAAGAGGGUCACUCCUCAUCACAGGUAUAAAGCAUAGCUAAGCUCCCCUGCUAGAACCUGUAAACAUGCUUUGGAGACAGCACAAAGCAAGCAAAUGGAAUACUGCAUGACAAACAUGCAAUUUAAGAUCACU
This 296-nucleotide small nuclear RNA is filed under the name Neotoma lepida (desert woodrat). Its description in RNAcentral is "7SK RNA". It matches the Rfam family "7SK RNA". From Rfam's summary of the family: 7SK was discovered as an abundant small nuclear RNA in the mid-70s but a possible function has only recently been suggested. Two independent studies have found that 7SK RNA binds the CDK9/cyclin T complex (known as elongation factor P-TEFb). The record is from Rfam by way of RNAcentral. Lineage: Eukaryota; Metazoa; Chordata; Mammalia; Rodentia; Cricetidae.